Molecule: ribosomal RNA, 93 nt
Filed under: Triticum aestivum (bread wheat)
Lineage: Eukaryota; Viridiplantae; Streptophyta; Magnoliopsida; Poales; Poaceae
Description: partial small subunit ribosomal RNA
Source: RNAcentral
AUGUCCAACGUGCCCACCUCCCUCCGCGACUCCUCCCUCACCGUCUUCCGCCUCGCCAUCUCCAGCUCCGACCCCUGGCCCUUCUCUUCCUAA